AUGUAAAAAUUAAUAAACCUGCGGUGUACACUCUUCGAAUCCAACUCGAUCAUCAUAAAAAGUAAUUUGAAAAUUUUAAUUAUUAUGGUAUUGGGUCAAUAUACAAGCCCAUAGAUAAAUAAGUAUUUGGUCCAGACAAGUAAACGGCGACGUAUCACUUUUGUUAUGUCUAAAACCUCUCCCUCAAAAGCUAUAUAAAGUUUGUUAAAUUAUUUAGGGUUGAAUUAGAUCUCUGUAUCAGCCCGCAGGACCUAAUCUCUGCCAAAGGUAAUUGACUAUCGUGGUACGGGUUCCAUCUAUUGUGGUGACACGAAUCUGAUCCCAGUGGUUGGUGGUCACCUCAAAAUCGUUGUCAAUCACACACUCGCAGGAGAGGGACCUGCGAAAAUUCGCAGGAUCAUAACUGACAUUUUAAGCUGGAGACUAGAUAAUCGUACACGAGAAAAUUUUGUACUAAUCCUGGGAAGCAAUAUCUCAGAAUGCCAUCUGUUGGAGUUGGUUUAUACAAAAUGGUCUAUGUCAGGUCGCAAUAUUGUCUUGGAAUUGACUCUGCUGGUGGAGGCUCGCAAAUUGAGCCAUCUGAAAGCUCACAACUUAAGCGAAAGGACCCACCAACUUAAGCUUCUGCAAUGAGAGUUUCGGUUCUUUUUCUUUAAACUCUAGUGCGACUAUUUCCUGAUCUCAUAGGAUCAUCCCUUCAUAUUGCAACAUUUUUCUUAAAAUAAAUACAUGAUGUAAAGAGAGUUGCAGAAAUGACAUAAGAACGUAUAGUCCUGACGUAA
Molecule: long non-coding RNA, 782 nt
Organism: Arabidopsis lyrata subsp. lyrata
Lineage: Eukaryota; Viridiplantae; Streptophyta; Magnoliopsida; Brassicales; Brassicaceae
Exons: 2
Source: RefSeq, a predicted model, not a curated record